RNAcentral lists this non-coding RNA (565 nucleotides) under Pongo abelii (Sumatran orangutan). The record is from RNAcentral. Lineage: Eukaryota; Metazoa; Chordata; Mammalia; Primates; Hominidae.
GUGUUUGCAGGUGAAUCUACUCCAGGGCAGCUGUUGGUGUACGUGUUUUGUUUCUGAUGCUGAAACCCUUCCUGAAACGGAUCUCCAUCCCUUCACUGAGCAGGGUUCACACAUAUUUAUGUUGGAGUGCAAAGGUUUCCGAUGCCCAGACGUGUGUCCUCCAAUCUGAGAAGGGAGCCAGGGAAGGGGCUGGAGUUGAUGCAUCUUGACUUAAGGGCUGAAGAGUUGGCAAUUUUGGAGGCCAGUGAAGAGCCACAUAGAAAAUGUCCCGCUGCCUGCCAUCGCCAGCAGCUCCUCUUGCUCCCAUCCUGCAGAGAGGCUCCCACACAGAUAGCAGACACAGGGACCUCUUUAAAAUGAAGAUGAAAUGCACCUGGUUCUACCACCUAGUUAGAAGCAGUUAUGAAGGUUGAAGAGCUGUUAUCUGAGAUUUAUAGCCCCAAAUCUGCGAGAUAGACUCUCCUAAUUAAUAAGACAAGGAAGACUAGAAAGUUGUGAAAACUACCUGGCAGGGUUUGGAGCCUGCUGUCACCACCACGAUGAUAGCACUGUCUUUGCUGCUGAG